RNAcentral lists this transfer RNA (60 nucleotides) under Navis striatus. RNAcentral's name for it is "Argas striatus tRNA-His". The record is from RNAcentral. Lineage: Eukaryota; Metazoa; Arthropoda; Arachnida; Ixodida; Argasidae.
GCUUAAUUAGUUUAAUAAAAAUAAUGGGUUGUGGUUCCAAGGAUGAAGAGUCAUUGAGCA